AGUGAACGCUGGCGGUAGGCCUAACACAUGCAAGUCGAACGGCAGCACAGUAAGAGCUUGCUCUUACGGGUGGCGAGUGGCGGACGGGUGAGGAAUACAUCGGAAUCUACUUUUUCGUGGGGGAUAACGUAGGGAAACUUACGCUAAUACCGCAUACGACCUACGGGUGAAAGCAGGGGAUAUUCGGACCUUGCGCGACUGAAUGAGCCGAUGUCGGGUUAGCUAGUUGGCGGGGUAAAGGCCCACCAAGGCGACGAUCCGUAGCUGGUCUGAGAGGAUGAUCAGCCACACUGGAACUGAGACACGGUCCAGACUCCUACGGGAGGCAGCAGUGGGGAAUAUUGGGCAAUGGGCGCAAGCCUGAUCCAGCCAUACCGCGUGGGUGAAGAAGGCCUUCGGGUUGUAAAGCCCUUUUGUUGGGAAAGAAAAGCAGCAGGUUAAUACCCCGCUGUUCUGACGGUACCCAAAGAAUAAGCACCGGCUAACUUCGUG
This 492-nucleotide ribosomal RNA is filed under the name uncultured bacterium. RNAcentral describes it as "partial 16S ribosomal RNA". It matches the Rfam family "Bacterial small subunit ribosomal RNA", at positions 29 to 507 of the family's 1533-position model. The record is from RNAcentral.